AGCUCAAUGGUAGAGCCUCAGUCUUCCAAACUGAUUACGCGGGUUCGAUUCCCGUC
This 56-nucleotide transfer RNA is filed under the name Bifidobacterium crudilactis. RNAcentral describes it as "tRNA-Gly". It matches the Rfam family "tRNA", at positions 9 to 63 of the family's 71-position model. Rfam says of the family: Transfer RNA (tRNA) molecules are approximately 80 nucleotides in length. The record is from RNAcentral. Lineage: Bacteria; Bacillati; Actinomycetota; Actinomycetes; Bifidobacteriales; Bifidobacteriaceae.